ACGCAGAAGGGAGGUGGUCCAAACAAUGGUUAGUCAUUAUUGGGCUAGCGAGGUGGCUGUCCGCUAGGACUCGUCCAUCUGGACCUUCCGUCUGGAUGUCGAACGACGUCCCGGCGAAUCCUCGACAGACACCGGAACCCCGGGCGGCCGGCGGGCGGAGGCGUAUCGUUUCCCCCAUGGUCCAGCCGGCCCGUCUCACCUGAGGCGGAGCACGCCCGGGGUUUUUUCAUG
Molecule: small RNA, 231 nt
Filed under: Microbispora sp. ATCC PTA-5024
Lineage: Bacteria; Bacillati; Actinomycetota; Actinomycetes; Streptosporangiales; Streptosporangiaceae
Description: Actinobacteria sRNA Ms_IGR-5
Rfam family: Actinobacteria sRNA Ms_IGR-5
Source: Rfam by way of RNAcentral